CCUACGGGUGGCAGCAGUGGGGAAUAUUGGACAAUGGGGGAAACCCUUAUCCAGCGACGCCGCGUGAGGGAAGAAGGUUUUCGGAUUGUAAACCUCUGUCAGUGGGGACGAGAAUGACGGUACCCACGGAGGAAGCCACGGCUAACUACGUGCCAGCAGCCGCGGUAAUACGUAGGUGGCAAGCGUUGUCCGGAAUUACGGGGUGUAAAGGGAGCGUAGGCGGGAUGUCAAGUCAGAAGUGAAAAUUAUGGGCUCAACGCAGAACCUGCUUUUGAAACUGAUAUUCUUGAGUGAAGUAGAGGCAAGCGGCAUUCCUUGUGUAGCGGUGAAAUGCGUCGAUUUUCGGCGGAACCCCCGUGGCGAAGGCGGCUUGCUGGGCUUUUACUGCCGCUGCGGCUCGACAGCGUGGGGAGCAAACAGGAUUCGCUACCCGGGUAGUC
Molecule: ribosomal RNA, 440 nt
Filed under: uncultured bacterium
Lineage: Bacteria
Description: partial 16S ribosomal RNA
Rfam family: Bacterial small subunit ribosomal RNA
Source: RNAcentral